GUCUGGGUGGUGUAGUUGGUUAUCACGCUAGUCUCACACACUAGAGGUCCCCAGUUACAACAUUUUGGAANUCUCCAGUUCGAACCUGGGCUCAGACA
Molecule: non-coding RNA, 98 nt
Organism: Cucurbita pepo subsp. pepo (vegetable marrow)
Lineage: Eukaryota; Viridiplantae; Streptophyta; Magnoliopsida; Cucurbitales; Cucurbitaceae
Source: the annotation of a RefSeq genome assembly